RNAcentral lists this long non-coding RNA (742 nucleotides) under Marmota monax (woodchuck). The record is from RNAcentral. Lineage: Eukaryota; Metazoa; Chordata; Mammalia; Rodentia; Sciuridae.
GAAAGGCUUUUUUUUUUUUUUUAAAGAGAGAGAGAAUUUUUUAAUAUUUAUUUUUUAGUUAUCGGCGGACACAACAUCUUUGUGUAUGUGGUGCUGAGGAUGGAACCCGGGCCGCACGCAUGCCAGGCGAGCACGCUACCACUUGAACCACAUCCCCAGCCCAAAGAAAGGCUUUUAAGUGGUAAGACACUUCAAUAAGAAAGGGGGAGCUAGAAAUGUAGUUCAGAGGUAGAGCCUUAAGUUCAGUCCCUAGCACUGCAAAUAAACCUGACUGGACUUGCUGGGCUUUAAAGCCUAAGUAGAGUGAAUUGAGUGGAUAUGAGAGAAGCAUUCCAGUGAGGAGAGCAAAAGGUGAAAAUAAGCUGAAGCAUCAAGGGAAGAAAGUGGAAGUUGGGGAGCAGAGAUGGAAAUUGCUAAGAGAUGAGGCUAAGCCAAGCCAUGCCUUAUAAGCCAGGUAAGCAUUUCAGUGUCUAGGAGCACUACUGCUUGACUUGAGGCUGUGGAAGGUUUGGGGAGGGAUGGAAUUGUGCUUUAAAAUAACUCAGUGGUAGAGUGGUUGCCUAGCAUGUGCAAAGCCCUGGUUCAAUCCCCAGCACCACAGACAAAUAAAAAUUUAAAAACUUUUUUCUGGCUGCAGUGUCAAAUGGUUUGGAGGGAAACAUGGAAGAGGAUAUGGAGACAACUGAAGUUUGUUACAAAAACCCAAGGCAGAAAUGGAGUGGAGCAGAGUGGGUGUUCUAUG